AGCGAACGCUGGUGGCAGGCCUAACACAUGCAAGUCGAACGAACUCUUCGGAGUUAGUGGCGGACGGGUGAGUAACACGUGGGAACGUGCCUUUAGGUUCGGAAUAACUCAGGGAAACUUGAGCUAAUACCGGAUGUGCCCUUCGGGGGAAAGAUUUAUCGCCUUUAGAGCGGCCCGCGUCUGAUUAGCUAGUUGGUGAGGUAAAGGCUCACCAAGGCGACGAUCAGUAGCUGGUCUGAGAGGAUGAUCAGCCACAUUGGGACUGAGACACGGCCCAAACUCCUACGGGAGGCAGCAGUGGGGAAUCUUGCGCAAUGGGCGAAAGCCUGACGCAGCCAUGCCGCGUGAAUGAUGAAGGUCUUAGGAUUGUAAAAUUCUUUCACCGGGGACGAUAAUGACGGUACCCGGAGAAGAAGCCCCGGCUAACUUCGUG
RNAcentral lists this ribosomal RNA (433 nucleotides) under uncultured bacterium. RNAcentral's name for it is "partial 16S ribosomal RNA". It matches the Rfam family "Bacterial small subunit ribosomal RNA", at positions 29 to 507 of the family's 1533-position model. The record is from RNAcentral.